UGAACGCUGGCGGUAGGCCUAACACAUGCAAGUCGAACGGCAGCACAGUAAGAGCUUGCUCUUACGGGUGGCGAGUGGCGGACGGGUGAGGAAUACAUCGGAAUCUACUUUUUCGUGGGGGAUAACGUAGGGAAACUUACGCUAAUACCGCAUGCGACCUACGGGUGAAAGCAGGGGAUCUUCGGACCUUGCGCGAUUGAAUGAGCCGAUGUCGGAUUAGCUAGUUGGCGGGGUAAAGGCCCACCAAGGCGACGAUCCGUAGCUGGUCUGAGAGGAUGAUCAGCCACACUGGAACUGAGACACGGUCCAGACUCCUACGGGAGGCAGCAGUGGGGAAUAUUGGACAAUGGGCGCAAGCCUGAUCCAGCCAUACCGCGUGGGUGAAGAAGGCCUUCGGGUUGUAAAGCCCUUUUGUUGGGAAAGAAAAGCAGCAGGUUAAUACCCCGCUGUUCUGACGGUACCCAAAGAAUAAGCACCGGCUAACUUCGUG
RNAcentral lists this ribosomal RNA (490 nucleotides) under uncultured bacterium. RNAcentral describes it as "partial 16S ribosomal RNA". It matches the Rfam family "Bacterial small subunit ribosomal RNA", at positions 30 to 507 of the family's 1533-position model. The record is from RNAcentral.